Molecule: RNA transcript, 1137 nt
Organism: Atta colombica
Lineage: Eukaryota; Metazoa; Arthropoda; Insecta; Hymenoptera; Formicidae
Gene name: transmembrane protein 242
Exons: 6
Source: RefSeq, a predicted model, not a curated record
CUCCAAUCGAGAUUAUGAGUGGGCUUUAAAAAUGGCAGACCUUAACGACUGAUUUCUUCUGCAAGUGUAACGUGAUGGCAAAAUUGAAUGACACUGUAGAAACGUCCAUAACGAAGUCUGAGAAAUUGAAGGAGAAAAUUUAUGCUACAGUAUUUUUAAGCACUGUUGCAAGUAUUUCUGCUCUCGCUGGAUUUACCAGGGCAGUGGCGGCAACCAGAAAGCAAGAUCCAAAACAUUUUGGAGAUGGAAUUUCUGGUAUGAAAGGAAUUCCUGAAACUGGAGCCUCAUUAGCUAUAAGAGCCCUUGGCUGGGGUACAUUAUAUGCUGUCACAGGAUGUGGUUUAUUUUUUUAUGGAAUUUGGAAACUCUCUGGUGCUACUAACACAGAGGAAUUUAGAUUCAAGAUGGGUUCUCUAUUACCAAAAAUACCUAAGAAUGACCCACCUCAAAGCAGAACAAAGUUCGAGGGUUUGACAGAUCUAUUGACAUAUAUUUCUGAAGAUUGGGGACGAAAUAAGGAGGAAUAAAUGUAUACAUGAUCUUGUUCUGGAACCGUAUUGGUCAUAGUUGACACGCUUAUAGCAGUAUUCGAAUUGCUUAAUCAGGAUCGUAUGAUUGGGAAUCGUAAGAUUGAGUCAUGCACGGGUUUACUGCAUGCAUGAAUAGUAACGCAAAUAGCAAUAAAAAGAUCAUAUGAAACAAGUUUCAUGAAAUUGUAAAUUAAACUGCUGAAAGUGAAUCAUAAUAUCUUACAAAAAUGAUAUAUACGAUCACGCCAUCAACACAAGAUAAAUCACGUUAAAAGAACGUGAAACUUGAUGUAUUUGUGCAGAAAGCAAUGAAAAGUACAAAGAUAUAUAAUACCAAACAACCUGAACGAAAAGGCCAGCAUGGACCAUCUGACUUGUAAUCCAUACAGUAGAUAGAUGUUAAACUAUAUUUUCUCACAAUUGACUAUUUAUUAAUUGACGAAUUUACGUCUACUAUAUAAUUAAAUGACGUUAAAUUACAAGCGAUUAGAAAAUGUUUCCAUAUAAUAAUUGCAGAAAUUUUAAUUUAUGAAAAGAACAUGAAUAGAUCCUGGAUGUAUGGCUACGUCGACCAGCGGCGUGAGAAAAAACAGAAAAAAGAAUGGAG